GAUGAACGCUAGCGGCAGGCCUAAUACAUGCAAGUCGAACGGGAUCUGAGGGUAGCUUGCUACCCGAUUUGAGAGUGGCGCACGGGCGCGUAACGCGUGAGCAACCUACCCAUAUCAGGGGGAUAGCCCGAAGAAAUUCGGCUUAACACCGCAUAAUAAUACGCUAACACAUGUUAAUGUAUUUAAAUAUUUAUAGGAUAUGGAUGGGCUCGCGUGACAUUAGCUAGUUGGUAAGGUAACGGCUUACCAAGGCGACGAUGUCUAGGGGCUCUGAGAGGAGAAUCCCCCACACGGGUACUGAGACACGGACCAGACUCCUACGGGAGGCAGCAGUAAGGAAUAUUGGUCAAUGGGCGCGAGCCUGAACCAGCCAUGCCGCGUGCAGGAUGACUGCCCUAUGGGUUGUAAACUGCUUUUGUUAGGGAAUAAACCUACUUAUGUAUAAGUAGCUGAAUGUACCUAAAGAAUAAGGAUCGGCUAACUCCGUGCCAGCCGCCGCGGUAA
RNAcentral lists this ribosomal RNA (504 nucleotides) under uncultured bacterium. RNAcentral describes it as "partial 16S ribosomal RNA". It matches the Rfam family "Bacterial small subunit ribosomal RNA", at positions 28 to 523 of the family's 1533-position model. The record is from RNAcentral.